RNAcentral lists this transfer RNA (72 nucleotides) under Ictidomys tridecemlineatus (thirteen-lined ground squirrel). RNAcentral describes it as "Spermophilus tridecemlineatus (thirteen-lined ground squirrel) tRNA". It matches the Rfam family "tRNA". Rfam says of the family: Transfer RNA (tRNA) molecules are approximately 80 nucleotides in length. The record is from Rfam by way of RNAcentral. Lineage: Eukaryota; Metazoa; Chordata; Mammalia; Rodentia; Sciuridae.
GAGGAUAUUGCUCAGUGGUAGAGUUCCUGCUUGGCAUGCACAAGGUCCUGGGUUCAAUUCCCUAUAACCCUC